GAGUUUGAUCCUGGCUCAGGGUGAACGCUAGCGGUGCGCCUAACACAUGCAAGUCGAGCGGUAGAAUUGAAUAGCUUGCUAUUUAAUUUGAGAGCGGCGAACGGGUGAGUAACAUGUUGAUAUCUGCCCCCAAGUCAGGGAUAGCCAUUGGAAACGAUGAUUAAUACCGGAUAGUCUCUACGGAGUAAAAAUUUAUUGCUUGGGGAGGAGUCUACAUUCUAUCAGUUAGUUGGCGAGGUAAAAGCUCACCAAGUCUAUGACGGAUAGCUGGUCUGAGAGGAUGAUCAGCCACAAUGAAACUGAGACACGGUUCAUACUCCUACGGGAGGCAGCAGUGAGGAAUCUUCCACAAUGGACGAAAGUCUGAUGGAGCGACACCGCGUGAAGGAUGAAGGCCUAACGGUUGUAAACUUCUUUUCUGAAGGAGCAUAAUGAGAGUACUUCAGGAAUAAGGGACGGCUAAUUACGUGCCAGCAGCCGCGGUAAUACGUAAGUCCCGAGUGUUACCCGGAAUCAUUGGGUGUAAAGGGUUCGUAGGCGGAUAAUUAAGUUGGGUAUUAAAGACCGAGGCUCAACCUCGUGUUUGUGCCCAAAACUGGUUAUCUAGAAUUAGGGAGAGGUAAGUGGAAUUCUGUGUGUAGGGGUGCAAUCCGUAGAUACACAGAGGAACACCAAAAGCGAAGGCAACUUACGGGAACUAUAUUGACGCUGAUGAACGAAAGCGUGGGUAGCGAAAAGGAUUAGAUACCCUUGUAGUCCACGCCCUAAACGAUGAUAACUAGGUGUUGGGACUAGAUCUCAGUGCUGAAGCUAACGCAUUAAGUUAUCCACCUGAGGAGUACGGUCGCAAGAUUAAAACUCAAAGGAAUAGACGGGGACCCACACAAGCAGUGGAUCACGUGGUUUAAUUCGAUGAHAARCGGAGAACCUUACCCAGACUUGACAUCCUAAGAAUUCCACAGAGAUGAGGAAGUGCCUUUAUUGGAGCUUAGUGACAGGUGCUGCAUGGUUGUCGUCAGCUCGUGCCUUGAGGUGUUCGGUUAAGUCCGUUAACGAGCGCAACCCAUGUCUCUAGUUAUUAUGUCUAGAGAGACUGCCUUGGUUAACAAGGAGGAAGGUGUGGAUGACGUCAAAUCAGCAUGGCUUUUACGUCUGGGGCUACACACAUGAUACAAUGGCAUGUACAAAGGGUAGCAAUACAAGUGAUGUUGAGAUAAUCCUAAAAGCAUAUCUUAGUCCGGAUUGGAGUCUGCAACUCGACUCCAUGAAGUUGGAAUUGCUAGUAAUCGUGAAUCAGAUAUGUCACGGUGAAUAUGUUCCUGGGUCUUGUACUCACCGCCCGUCACGGCAUGGGAGGUAGUAAUAUCGGAAGCUCCAUCGGUAAUAG
RNAcentral lists this ribosomal RNA (1387 nucleotides) under uncultured prokaryote. RNAcentral's name for it is "bacterial SSU rRNA". It matches the Rfam family "Bacterial small subunit ribosomal RNA". The record is from RNAcentral.